This 439-nucleotide ribosomal RNA is filed under the name uncultured bacterium. RNAcentral's name for it is "partial 16S ribosomal RNA". It matches the Rfam family "Bacterial small subunit ribosomal RNA", at positions 339 to 795 of the family's 1533-position model. The record is from RNAcentral.
CUACGGGGGGCACCAGUGGGGAAUCUUGGACAAUGGGCGCAAGCCUGAUCCAGCCAUGCCGCGUGAGUGAAGAAGGUCUUCGGAUUGUAAAGCUCUUUUACCAGGGACGAUAAUGACGGUACCUGGAGAAUAAGCCCCGGCAAACCUCGUGCCAGCAGCCGCGAUAAUACGAAGGGGGCUAGCGUUGUUCGGAAUUACUGGGCGUAAAGCGCACGUAGGCGGGUCGUUAAGUCAGGGGUGAAAUCCCGGAGCUCAACUCCGGAACUGCCUUUGAUACUGGCGAUCUUGAGAUCGGAAGAGGUGAGUGGAAUUCCCAGUGUAGAGGUGAAAUUCGUAGAUAUUGGGAAGAACACCAGUGGCGAAGGCGGCUCACUGGUCCGAUACUGACGCUGAGGUGCGAAAGCGUGGGGAGCAAACAGGAUUAGAUACCCGCGUAGUC